RNAcentral lists this non-coding RNA (26 nucleotides) under Rattus norvegicus (Norway rat). Lineage: Eukaryota; Metazoa; Chordata; Mammalia; Rodentia; Muridae. The record is from RNAcentral.
UGCCAGUUCACAUUUUCUUCAAAUUC